This is a long non-coding RNA of Oncorhynchus keta (chum salmon), 1677 nucleotides long. RefSeq lists it as uncharacterized. The transcript has 3 exons. The record is from RefSeq and is a predicted model, not a curated record. Lineage: Eukaryota; Metazoa; Chordata; Actinopteri; Salmoniformes; Salmonidae.
AUGUGUUCAUUUCAUAUUCAUAUUGUCUUUCUUUUUGUUAUCUCUUCUGUGAGGAACUGAAGUCAGCUGUACUGAGAACAGUGUAGAGUCAGCUGUACUGAGAACUGUGUAGAGUCAGCUGUACUGAGAACUGUGUAGAGUCAGCUGUACUGAGAGCUGUGUAGAGUCAGCUGUACUGAGAGCUGUGUAGAGUCAGCUGUACUGAGAACUGUGUAGAGUCAGCUGUACUGAGAACUGUGUAGAGUCAGCUGUACUGAGAACUGUGUAGAGUCAGCUGUACUGAGAGCUGUGUAGAGUCAGCUGUACUGAGAACUGUGUAGAGUCAGCUGUACUGAGAGCUGUGUAGAGUCAGCUGUACUGAGAACAGUGUAGAGUCAGCUGUACUGAGAACUGUGUAGAGUCAGCUGUACUGAGAACUGUGUAGAGUCAGUUGUACUGAGAGCUGUGUAGAGUCAGCUGUACUGAGAGCUGUGUAGAGUCAGCUGUACUGAGAGCUGUGUAGAGUCAGCUGUACUGAGAACUGUGUAGAGUCAGCUGUACUGAGAACUGUGUAGAGUCAGCUGUACUGAGAACUGUGUAGAGUCAGCUGUACUGAGAGCUGUGUAGAGUCAGUUGUACUGAGAGCUGUGUAGAGUCAGUUGUACUGAGAGCUGUACUGAGAGCUGUGUAGAGUCAGUUGUACUGAGAGCUGUGUAGAGUCAGUUGUACUGAGAGCUGUACUGAGAGCUGUGUAGAGUCCGCUGUACUGAGAGCUGUGUAGAGUCAGUUGUACUGAGAGCUGUGUAGAGUCAGUUGUACUGAGAGCUGUACUGAGAGCUGUGUAGAGUCAGCUGUACUGAGAACUGUGUAGAGUCAGUUGUACUGAGAACUGUGUAGAGUCAGCUGUACUGAGAACUGUGUAGAGUCAGCUGUACUGAGAACUGUGUAGAGUCAGCUGUACUGAGAGCUGAAAAUCAUGAUCAAAUACACUCCAUUAAGUAGGUUACUGGCCCAACGCUCUAACCACUAGGCUACCUGCCGCCCCACACUGUCACUACAUUAAGUAGGUUACUGGCCCAACGCUCUAACCACUAGGCUACCUGCCGCCCCACACUGUCACUACAUUAAGUAGGUUACUGGCCCAACGCUCUAACCACUAGGCUACCUGCCGCCCCACACUGUCACUACAUUAAGUAGGUUACUGGCCCAACGCUCUAACCACUAGGCUACCUGCCGCUAUAGGGUUUAUAAGGGUUUUAUCUCUCUCUCCCAAUGCUCUAACCACUAGGCUACCUGCCACCCUCUGCACACCCUAAUUGACAAACACACUAAAUCAAAGGAAAAGUGUGCUAUCAACAGAUGAAUUUAUCAGGCCCUAUCAACAGAUGAAUUUAUCAGGUCCUAUCAACAGAUGAAUUUAUCAGGUCCUAUCAACAGAUGAAUUUAUCAGGUCCUAUCAACAGAUGAAUUUAUCAGGUCCUAUCAACAGAUGAAUUUAUCAGGUCCUAUCAACAGAUGAAUUUAUCAGGUCCUAUCAACAGAUGAAUUUAUCAGGUCCUAUCAACAGAUGAAUUUAUCAGGUCCUAUCAACAGAUGAAUUUAUCAGGUCCUAUCAACAGAUGAAUUUAUCAGGUGCUAUCAACAGAUGAAUUUAUCAGGUCCUAUCAACAGAUGAAUUUAUCAGGGGCUAUCAACAGA